Varanus komodoensis (Komodo dragon) is the source of this 405-nucleotide long non-coding RNA. RefSeq lists it as uncharacterized. Lineage: Eukaryota; Metazoa; Chordata; Lepidosauria; Squamata; Varanidae. The record is from RefSeq and is a predicted model, not a curated record. The transcript is spliced from 3 exons.
CAGGGCUAACACUUCAACACUCGCAAGUGGAGACCUGGAAGCAGUUCAGGGCCUCCAUCUCAGGCGAGGUGUAACAGAGUCAAGUGAGAGGUCAAGCAGAACUAACAAGGCACAUCUGGGAACUUGAGAAACUGCUGCGGGUAGCAUUACAAAAUGCCUAAACAGCAGAUCACCAUUUUGGCAUCUACCUGUCACUGCUAUGGAUCUUUGGCAAUUAACAAAUGGAAGGGGAAAUUGAGUCCUUGUGACCUAUGACAGCUAAAAGAUGGAUAUUAUAAAAUCAGAAGGAUUCAGCUUGCAGCACUCUCAGUUUAUGAAGCGGUGGCAUGUGAACUCCAAUCAGAUAACUAUGUGACUAUUUUGGCUGCUUUUCCGGAGCCUAGGUAGUGGCUAGAAAUGCCACUA